Long non-coding RNA from Ficedula albicollis (Collared flycatcher), 788 nucleotides. RefSeq lists it as uncharacterized. The record is from RefSeq and is a predicted model, not a curated record. The transcript is spliced from 5 exons. NCBI's taxonomy places the organism in Eukaryota, Metazoa, Chordata, Aves, Passeriformes, Muscicapidae.
UCAUCCUCUUUCGACCAUGGCGGUGAGUCCGGUGUCGUGUGCGGGAGCAUCGGGGACCAUCCACUGCCAUCCUUCGUCGCUGGGCUCUCCCGCCGCAUCGGCGUCCCGUGUGCAGCGCGGCCUUGCCCCCACCCUCCUCCUUAGGUCGGGCCCGGCCCCGGCAGCGUCCUGGCAUAGAAGGUGAUCCCGGGGCGUGGGAUGGCAGGGGUCCUGGGUGUUCCAGAGCUCACCCAUCUGAUGGAGAAACCCAGCAGUUACUCUGUGGGAAAAGGUGAGAACCUUUGAGCCCUGUCCCAAGGGCUUCAGCUUGCUUCCCAUGGGACCUGAGUUGUGGGGAAGCUGCAGUAUGGAGCCUGUCUAAGCAGAGGGUGAGCCAUCCCUGAGGGACUGCGUGCUGCGGUGCCAGACUGUUCUUUCCCAGCCUUCUCCUCCAGAAGUGGGAGCUCUGCAGAUCCUGGCUCCUUCCUGAGCAAUGAGCUCCACCAGGUGGGUUCAGCCUCCUCUGGGCUCCGCUCUUCUGCAGUGGAAGGAGAUGGAACUGGUUUGGCCCCAGCUGUUGCACAAGCUCCCAUUCACAUGCUCCACAUGGAAGAACAGUUCUCAGGAGGGGUCUGGAUAUCAAAUACUUGGAUAUAGCAGGGACCUAGUAAUGCCAAGGUGGGUGGUGGAUUUGAUCCCUGUAUGGGCCAUUCACUUAAGAACUGGACUCUCUGAUCCCUGUGGGUCCCUUCCUACUUGAAAUAUUGUGUGUGUGUGAUACAAGUUUGAAUAAACGCAAUUACUUUUAA